This 227-nucleotide long non-coding RNA is filed under the name Lathyrus oleraceus (garden pea). RNAcentral's name for it is "Pisum sativum (pea) long non-coding RNA (PSAT_LNC009325)". The record is from RNAcentral. Lineage: Eukaryota; Viridiplantae; Streptophyta; Magnoliopsida; Fabales; Fabaceae.
UUGGAUUUAGUCAAUAUCUCUAAUGGUAACGAAUACCCCACUACAGAAAAGUGGCGACUCUGCUGGGGAUAUACAUUUGCCUAGUAGGUUUUUCCUACUUUUCAUAUUUGUUGUAUUGUAUGGUAUAUUGCUUUGUGACAUAUUUUUGUGCAAUUUGGGAUUACUGUAUUGUAUGUAAUGAUUGAAUUGUUUGAAUAUUAAUUCCUUGUAUGCUUGGUGAUCUUCGU